Gossypium raimondii (Peruvian cotton) is the source of this 1566-nucleotide long non-coding RNA. RefSeq lists it as uncharacterized. Lineage: Eukaryota; Viridiplantae; Streptophyta; Magnoliopsida; Malvales; Malvaceae. The transcript has 3 exons. The record is from RefSeq and is a predicted model, not a curated record.
CCUAAAUCCCCCAUCUAUUAAAAUCCCUAAUCAGUCAGAGCCAAAGAGAGCACUUCGUCGAUUUCUUACCCCCGAUUCCUCGAUUGGUUUUUUUAGUUACAAGGAAAAACUUUAGUUUUUCGAUUUCUUGCAAACUUACAUAACCCACACAGAGAAGACGAAGAAUGUGGCAGUCGGAUUCUUUUUUUGGUGAAUCAGUAUUUAAGGGUUUGUUCGGGGCUUUCAUUUGUCUUCAUCGUUGUCAAGGGAGUGCCUUAAGCUUAUUCCACACGAGAAGUUUUCUUUUGCGAAGGUUAUGAUAGACAUUGAAUGUUUUUCACCAAUCUCUCUCGGGUUCAGAUCCCUAAACCCACCAAUCGUAUCUACAAGCAAGAAUGCUGCCUCUCCUUCGAUUCUCCGGUACUCUUUUUUUGUUGUUGUUAUCUGUUUGUUUCUCGAGAAACUACUUGAUUUCUUGUGACUGAAAAAUACCAUGUUGAUAGGCUAUUUGUUUUGACCUUUUAGUGUUUUCGAAUUUGUUUUGUUUAUGACAAAGUUAGUAAAAGUUAGAUUUUUUUGCUUGAGUUUUUAAACUUUUUUUUAGGUUUUUUUGGUUCAAGAUUUUUAAAGAACUAUUAAAUGUGGUUGAAUUUUUUUGCAGAGGUCAGAAAGAGGAUUAUUUGUUGUUAAUUGGUUGAAUCUUUUUACUAAUCUGCGGUAUAAUAUGUUUUUUGGUCUUUGAUGUUUGGCUGGGAUAUUGCAUCUUUUAGAAAUUAAUCUUUGAGUAAUUUGUACAGCUUUAUGGUAGUCAAGCUGUUCUGCGGCAGGAGGUUUCCAUUCCUGUCUGGUUUUACUCUAAAGAGGCUUCUCCCCCUAGUUUAAAAGAAGAUGGUAAGUGUAUAUCAAGAUGCUUGCUUUGCUUUUGACAUUAAUUUGGAUCCCCACUACAUGCUUCUCCCAGCUUAUAUUAUAUAUAUUCUUGUGUAAUGCAGGAGCUGCUACUAUGAAAUUAUAUUGUUUCAGUCUUAUUUAUUGAUUGUUGGAGAUAUGGAUGGAUGGUUAGGAUUAUAAGUUAUUGUUAAAGUUUUAAUCUAGGAAUAGGAAUAUAUGAUUAAAGCUUUAUUUGUAACUUAGCAGCUAUCAUCAUUUUCACAUCUCCUUAAUGAAAUCUUCAUUCGGCUAAAUACUUACAAGUUGAACACUAGUCGCUAAAACUUAAAUUGCAGCACUCGAACUCUGUUGAUAUAUUAGAAAUUGUUUCCUUUUUUAUUGCCAUUCUUUGUUGCUUGUUGUCUUAUUAUGUCUUUUUUUUCUUCACUUUUUCACAGCAUAAGCCCAAAUCAUGCGAGUUUCAAGCUCACAAAGGUGAUAGAAUCAAAAUGCACUAUCGGGUAUGUUGGCUUCAGCUUGAUAUUUUAUUUUUGUACUAUAAGUGCUCGCUUGACCCUUAAAUGUAAGUAACAAAUAUUUGAUUAUGGAUUGUAGUUCAAUUUAUUAUUUUUACAUUUCCUGGGGGGCUGGAAAAUUGCUUGUUGAUUCUUCCUUAAAAUAAGAAACUGUUUGCAAUAUUAACUUGUACAUUUGUGA